GGGAGAGCUGUCUGGGAGCUGGGGAGAGGCCAUUCCUUUCUCCUACUUCAAGAACAGAAUACGCCAACGUGUCCAGACCCGAGUCCUAAAGUGUGUGGCCCAUAGCUAACGUACAUGGGCAUGGAUUAAUGGCCAUUUCCAGGUGUACAGUAGAGGCUUCGAGUGGCCAGACACCAGUGUGAAACCACCGCUGCCCGUCCUGGGAGCUCUACCUCCCCCCGGGGAGGGCCACACAGCCCUCAGGACAGUGCCACCAGCCCCUCCUCCCACCAGGCAGGAAGGGACAGCCACAUCCAUCCUGUGCCGCCGUCAGAGCCGACCCCCAACCUCGCGUGAUGGAGUCACGAGGUCUUUGUCCCUCUGUGAACUCUUCAGCGCGUUGUGGACAGAGCAACGCCCUGUGCGGAGCAGGAGGCCAGGAGAAGUUGGAUGGGCAGUCUCUUGACAGAGCCAAUUGGAACAGCCAAGAUACCGAAGGCCUGGCAGAGCCGCAGCUGCAGCACCUCCCCAGAGCUGCUAAGCCAUAAAGGAACACGAUCCCAAACAGCAGCAGCCCAAACAGCGGGGAGAACACAAGAGGCCCGGCAGAUGGCCGGCGGUGGACAGUUCUACGCGUCAGCUGUUGUGCCCUGAGUGCAUAACUGGGGGCUGAGAUCCGGGCAUUCCAAGGUUCCCCCAACUCACCCUCCCUCCCCGAGAAUUCCCCCCCGGCC
This is a long non-coding RNA of Dipodomys spectabilis (banner-tailed kangaroo rat), 713 nucleotides long. RefSeq lists it as uncharacterized. The record is from RefSeq and is a predicted model, not a curated record. Lineage: Eukaryota; Metazoa; Chordata; Mammalia; Rodentia; Heteromyidae. The transcript has 3 exons.